Molecule: long non-coding RNA, 5196 nt
Filed under: Homo sapiens (human)
Lineage: Eukaryota; Metazoa; Chordata; Mammalia; Primates; Hominidae
Description: HSALNT0339406
Source: RNAcentral
AAUUUAUUUUAGUGAAAAAAAAAAUGAAGAAACAGAUUCCUUAGUUUAGAGAAAGGAAUUGCUUUUAAAAAUGGGAUUCUUCAUGGUAAUUUGGAUUAUUGAUAGUUUUAAAAAUAUCAUUCUACUUCCUGGAGUGGAAUUAGAAGGAAUGAGUCUUGAAAUUCCAGGAAAUAGAAGAAUUAGAAUGAACCAGAGGUUUCUUAUCUUCUGGUCAAUUGCCAAAUCGUUAUAAUAGUUUGCUUGGAAAUACGGCUUCAACCUGUAUCAGUAACUAUUACCAGAAGUCCUUCAGACCACCUAAAUGCUUUCCAAAUGCUUUCCUCUUCUCUUUAAGGAAAGAGUUCUUGGAGCAAACGUUUCUAAAGCACACGGAUUCACAAUAAAAAAUAUUUAAACAAUUCCUAAAACCUAUUAACCACUCGUUAUCCCAGCUUUUUAAGUUAAAUCACUGUAUUUGUUUGAAGUAAAAUUAUAGGGUCUCCUUUGAAGAUGAACACAUAAGAAUAUACAUCUUAGAAGAGGAAGGUCUUAUGAAUUUUAAUCUCAAAUAUUCUGGCCUCAAUUUCAACGUGAACUUUAAAGUGUGAUCUAAAUGCUUACUGUGUGUAAUAUAAACAUUAAGAGGCACAUUUUGAUGUCACCUGCGUGAUAAAACUUUCCUGGCUUCAUUGUGCUAAACUUUUCUCAAAUUUUCUGGACCAGAAACAUAGUCCAAACAUAGCACAUCAUCAUAUCACACAGACAAACACACACACACACACUCACACACUACCAUACACACAGCAAGAACACAGUACAGCACCAGCAUACAGUAAGUGCCAUAGGUGUGCCCACCUUGGAAUGUUGUUGAAAAUUAGAUUCUCCUGGUCAAUAGCCAUCAAGUCCUAUAACUGCCACAUCUUUCCAAGAUAUUUUCCCCAAUUCCAUUACACUCCCCAAAAUACUAGUCUCACUAGAGACAAAACAUGACAAGAACUCUUUACACAAUCUCUUAAAAUCUACUUUAUUUCACAUUGCAUGCCUGUUAUCAAAACAUCUCAGGUACCCCAUAAAUAUAUAUACCUACUAUGUGCCCAAAAAUUUUUUUAAAAAAUCUAUUUUAACUUGGAUAAGUUAAGUAUAUUUCUGUAUAUUAGGUAGAAAAAAUCAGGUGGUUUUCUUAGUUUGGGUUAGCAGACUCUGAGACAAUAAUCCAAAUGCAAAUGGUUUAUCUAGGCAGUGAUCCCAGGAAGAACAGUGAAAGAAUAAGGAAGUAAAACAAAGAAGGAAGGAAGUGAAUAUAGCUAAUAUUUAUAUUGUUAAUCAGCAAAUUACCACUAUGGGAAUGUAGGCUCAGUCUCACUGAGAUUCUCUAAGAAGCUGUACAGAACAUUCUUCAGUACUGUACCAGCAAUGGCAAGAAAGCUGGAGUGUUUAUCCACCAGAUCUCAUCCCUCACUGGUGAGGGUCACUCCUAAGAUUCUGAUUUUCCCAGAUUCCUGGUCUGCACUUCUUGGACCUACCACAUUUCCAUGGUCAGAGAAUGCUCUCCAACAGAGACGCAGGAAGCUUUAUUUAUUCUUAAAAGUUGAGCGGCUCAGGCUCAUAAAUACUAAUGAUCCAAGUAUUUUCUGGUGUUAGCUAGCCAUAGUGUGAUAUCUAGGAAUGUCUAGCCAAGCUGACCAAGCCUCCCUCUAGCAAUACUCCAUUAUGAGUACCAUUUUUUACCUGGUUGCUAGGGACAACCAAAUUUUGCCUAUAAUGAUGAAUAGAGGUCCUCCUGACCCAAAUAUCUGAGUGUAUUUGAAAGGAGUUCUUUAAUUUAGAGUCAUAUAUAAAGGCAACAAAAAGCAGGAGUUGCAAUAUAGAUUGAGAGCUGGAUAAUUUUUCUUGUAUUUUUUAUGUAGAUACAAAUAUGUAUACAAAAAAUUAAGAUUAGUGGAGUCAUGAUAUUAACUUUUAAACUCUUCACAGAGAAGUAGAGAAACUGGUUUGACUGAGAGAAUUCUCUCACUCUGGUUGUUUCUGAUGUUUCUUGGUUCUUGCUUUCUAAUUCUGUCUUCUCCUAAACUGGUACGUUCUAUGAUGUUUAUGUUCCCUCAUGGGACCACAUCAGAAUGAUCACUUCCUUGAUGCAAGGCUCUUAAUUAUGACUCCAGAGAAAUCCAGAAAAAUCUGUUCCCAUCGGUUACUGCUGAAAAAAAGUACAAGAUCUUGCUCAGCAGCAUUCCUAAAGAGAUUGCUUUCUUUUGCUCACAUUUUUUCAAAAUGCCUGCUGUCUGUUUUACCUUAAAAAUAGUAAUUCUUAAUUCAUAUAGCAUUGCAAUUCACAACUCUGUUUUUCCAAAAUACCCCAAGAUGUAUCAGUGAGAAAAAUUAUUUCCCAUUUUGGCAUUCUCUGGGAAAGGGAAAUUUCUAACAUUUUACUUCCAUGUGCAAAAGUCUUCAAAUUCUGGCAUAUUUCCCAUGAAUCUUUAAUCUGAUCUACCUAACAAUGCCCUUUGAGUUGAUUGCCCUUUGAGUUGAGGUUUUAUGGUUUCACAACUUCAAUCUCACUGAUAUAUAGGUUAGGCUAGCAUCAAAGAAAAUAGGUUAAAGAAAUAGUUUCACUUAUUUUGGCCCACCUAAAACCAGGACUUGAACUUUACCAAAAACUAAAUAUCUAAGCAUAGCACGUUAGAAAGCAGCAUAUAGUACAAGAACAGUAGGGAGGGCACAAAGCUCAGGUCUGUGGCUUAAUAGUGACUGACCACAGGCACACUGGUAACUUCUCUUAACCGUCCUGCCUCAUCUGACAAGCAGGGUAAAUGUCAUCUAUGUUACAAAGUGGGUGGUGGUUCUAAAUUAGAGAGCCUAGACAAAGUGUCCCCGACUGCUGCAUAUUAUAGGCUCUCAGAAAACAUUAACUGCCUUUCUCUUUCCUCCAAAGUUUCAGUUGAGAAAAGUAUAAGCUCAAGGAAUAGAAGAUAAAUGUUCAGUAGAAUAGGAAUGGAAUCUAAUGCUUUUUCAUGCUGUGGUAAAUCACUGAAAAUGUGUCUUCAUGUCACAUUCUGUUUGGAGAGCAGUGUCUAUUUCCCUUUCUAAAUAUCAUUCAUCAGUGCAUCCUUUCUUGUAUCCAAAUAAAUGAAUCUUAAAUCUCUCUUUAAAUAGUUAUAAGGCAUGUGACUGACACAAACCAUAAAUCUAGAUAAAGAUUUGAAGGAUAUACUAACCAGGCUUGAGAUUACUAGAAGAGAGAAUAAAGAAAAUUGCAAAUGAACUGCUCUGAAAUAAAAUGACUACCAUGCAUUGCAAUUAGAAAAUCUAGGGGAAAACGACAAGUUGAGCUUCGUCUUCUUACCAGAAACUGUGUUGCUCUCUUUCCAUGUUUCCACUACCACUUUUGCCACAUGUGGUGAGAAACAUGAAAUAGCACAUGUUAGAAAAGUGAAUACUGUCAGGUGGAAAGCGUGCCUCACUCUUUUCUGGGAAUUACAUUCCGGGGUUUGAAUGGCUGAUUACCUUUAUGCAUGAACAAUUCAAUCAACUCAUCUCUGUACUGCUUAGCCCAGCUGGGUCUUGGCAAUAAUUCAAUUUGGGAAGGUUCUUCCAGAAAACCAUGCUAAUAUGUUUAGUUUUUAGAAGAAAAAAUAAUACACUGUAGAGAAUUGAUUUGGGGGUUGGCAAUGUAGUUGUAGGGAAAGGGAUUCAAGUGAGGACUAUCAUUUUUUUUCCCUCAUGUCAGGCAAAGGAUUGGAGAGAUUAAGGAACUUGAUUCAAGUCACGAAGCUACUAAGAGGCAAAACCAUGGUUUUAGUGAGACCCGUCUGGUUUCAAGAAGAGUAGUUUAAGUGUAUUCAGAGCCCAUUAUGUACCAGUCACUAUGUUCAGAAGUUUAUAUCUAGACCCCUCACAACAGGAGUAAACCAGAAUCAACCUACUACACUAAGAGCAGAAAGCCACACUCUUCUCUUGGAGACAAGGUCUCAGGAAAGGAGUGGGUAAAACACUUAUCUCCAGAAAGCCAGCAAGAGGGAAGAAGGAAGAAAACCCCAUCCUGCAUGGUAUGAUGCUGAGAUUCCUCACAUAUCUUCAAAGCAUCCUAAGAAAGUAAGUUUGAGUAUCUGUGGGCACUUGGGCUUCAAAGAACAAACAAGAGAGGCAGAAUCAAGGGAGUUCACAACUCUCUUUCAUUCUUACAUUAUAACAUUUAUACAUUCAUAGACAGCAAAUGAAGAGUCUCACACACAUCAUGUUUAGGAUAUAGGUCAGAAAGCUGAGACACAAAGAUGUCAACCACUUGCGUAUUUCUGACUCUUAGUUCUGAUUCUCAGGACUUAAUUUUUGUCUUUUGUUAAUGCCCCAUCCCAGAGUAAGGUCAACUGUUUCUUCAGGGCCAAGGGACUGUGGGUGUCCAGAGAAUGCUCAAUUGGAAUAUUUUUUUCAGCUCUUUUAUUACACAAAUGAAAUACUCUUCAACAAUUGUUGGGGGGUGGUUUUUUUGUUGUUCUGAAACAACUCCAGUAGGCUUUUUAGCUCUACAAAGUCCCUCCACACAAGUGGUGAUGCUUGACAUUUCAGCUCCAAGAAGGUAAAAUUGCUUGGUGAUGAAGUUAUUAAUGGUGAUGUUGAAGUCAGAGCUGCACCUCUGCAGACCAGGUUAUAUUUGAGGAAAAUAUGCUUAGCUAAAAAAAGAAGAAGAACAGUGAUCAGAUACGUCAAGGUGUCUGCCCAACCUCUUGGCCUGGGUCUCAUGACGGAGUUGGUGAGAUUCAGAAGGCAAUGAAACCAUUUUCAUCGAGUGCAUAAGCACAAGUAGAUCUGUCCCUGAGCCUGAAGGGCAAGGAAAUCAUGGGUUUUUACAAAUUUAGUUAGUAUCUGGCCACUUUAACAAAUUUCUACUAAUGCUAAUAACUCUUCAGUUGAUUUUUUAGUGCACAAUCAUAUUAUCUUCAUUUAAAGAUAAUGUUACUUUAUUCUUUUGAAAAGUUGUACCUCCUAUUUCCUGCCUUAUUGCUUCAGCUGUAAGUCAAGUCUCUGCAUAUACUUAGUUUGAAUGAUGAAAAGGGUGUUGAGAUUUUUAAGUUGUUUUGAGAAAUAUGGAUUUGAGUACAAAAUGCUGAAGAUAGAGAAACUGAAGAACUAUUGUAGUAGUUUAGGUGUGGGCCAGGUGAAGUGGCUCACACCUGUAAUUCUAGCACUUUGGGAGGAAGAGGGAGGCACAUCAUGAGGUCAGGA